CACUAUGCCUAGCCCUAAACAUUGACAGUUAAUUACACCCACUGUCCGCCUGGGGACUACGAGCGCCAGCUUAAAACCCAAAGGACUUGGCGGUGCUUUAGACCCACCUAGAGGAGCCUGUUCUAGAACCGAUAAUCCCCGUUGAACCUCACCCUUCCUUGUCAUUUCCGCCUAUAUACCACCGUCGUCAGCUUACCCUGUGAAGGCCCAAUAGUAAGCGCAAUCGGCAAUGCCCAAAACGUCAGGUCGAGGUGUAGCGAAUGGAAGGGGAAGAAAUGGGCUACAUUUACUAACACAGUAAAUACGGAUGAUUACCCUGCAACGAGUAUCUGAAGGAGGAUUUAGCAGUAAGCAAAAAACAGAGUGUUUUGCUGAAAUUGGCCCUGAAGCGUGCACACACCGCCCGUCACUCUCUCCGAACUAAAACUUUAAACAUAACUAAUAUGCUAUAACUGUAAAGGGGAGGCAAGUCGUAA
RNAcentral lists this ribosomal RNA (476 nucleotides) under Chaetodon oxycephalus (spot-nape butterflyfish). RNAcentral describes it as "partial small subunit ribosomal RNA". It matches the Rfam family "Bacterial small subunit ribosomal RNA", at positions 788 to 1491 of the family's 1533-position model. The record is from RNAcentral. Lineage: Eukaryota; Metazoa; Chordata; Actinopteri; Chaetodontiformes; Chaetodontidae.